This 1462-nucleotide ribosomal RNA is filed under the name Vibrio cholerae. Its description in RNAcentral is "partial 23S ribosomal RNA". It matches the Rfam family "Bacterial large subunit ribosomal RNA", at positions 1 to 1517 of the family's 2925-position model. The record is from RNAcentral. Lineage: Bacteria; Pseudomonadati; Pseudomonadota; Gammaproteobacteria; Vibrionales; Vibrionaceae.
GUUGUAUGGUUAAGUGACUAAGCGUACACGGUGGAUGCCUAGGCAGUCAGAGGCGAUGAAGGACGUACUAACUUGCGAUAAGCGCAGAUAAGGCAGUAAGAGCCGUUUGAGUCUGCGAUUUCCGAAUGGGGAAACCCAACUGCACAAGCAGUUACUGUUAACUGAAUACAUAGGUUAACAGAGCAAACCGGGGGAACUGAAACAUCUAAGUACCCCGAGGAGAAGAAAUCAACCGAGAUUCCGGUAGUAGCGGCGAGCGAACCUGGAUUAGCCCUUAAGCACUCGUUGAAGUAGGUGAACAAGCUGGAAAGCUUGGCGAUACAGGGUGAUAGCCCCGUAACCGACGCUUCAUCGAGCGUGAAAUCGAGUAGGGCGGGACACGUGAUAUCCUGUCUGAAUAUGGGGGGACCAUCCUCCAAGGCUAAAUACUCCUGACUGACCGAUAGUGAACCAGUACCGUGAGGGAAAGGCGAAAAGAACCCCUGUGAGGGGAGUGAAAUAGAACCUGAAACCGUGUACGUACAAGCAGUAGGAGCACCUUCGUGGUGUGACUGCGUACCUUUUGUAUAAUGGGUCAGCGACUUAUAUUCAGUGGCAAGGUUAACCGUAUAGGGGAGCCGUAGCGAAAGCGAGUCUUAACUGGGCGCUCAGUCUCUGGAUAUAGACCCGAAACCGGGUGAUCUAGCCAUGGGCAGGUUGAAGGUUGAGUAACAUCAACUGGAGGACCGAACCGACUAAUGUUGAAAAAUUAGCGGAUGACUUGUGGCUAGGGGUGAAAGGCCAAUCAAACUCGGAGAUAGCUGGUUCUCCCCGAAAGCUAUUUAGGUAGCGCCUCGGACGAAUACUACUGGGGGUAGAGCACUGUUAAGGCUAGGGGGUCAUCCCGACUUACCAACCCUUUGCAAACUCCGAAUACCAGUAAGUACUAUCCGGGAGACACACGGCGGGUGCUAACGUCCGUCGUGGAGAGGGAAACAACCCAGACCGCCAGCUAAGGUCCCAAAGUAUUGCUAAGUGGGAAACGAUGUGGGAAGGCUCAGACAGCUAGGAUGUUGGCUUAGAAGCAGCCAUCAUUUAAAGAAAGCGUAAUAGCUCACUAGUCGAGUCGGCCUGCGCGGAAGAUGUAACGGGGCUAAGCAAUACACCGAAGCUGCGGCAAUGCCUUUUAGGUAUUGGGUAGGGGAGCGUUCUGUAAGCCGUUGAAGGUGGUCUGUAAGGGCUGCUGGAGGUAUCAGAAGUGCGAAUGCUGACAUGAGUAACGACAAAGGGGGUGAAAAACCUCCUCGCCGGAAGACCAAGGGUUCCUGUCCAACGUUAAUCGGGGCAGGGUGAGUCGACCCCUAAGGUGAGGCCGAAAGGCGUAAUCGAUGGGAAACGGGUUAAUAUUCCCGUACUUCUGACUAUUGCGAUGGGGGGACGGAGAAGGCUAGGUGGGCCAGGCGACGGUUGUCCUGGUUCAAGU